CGGUAAGGUGACUCAAGUCGUCUCACACGGAAGGCUUAGCAGGGCUUUAAUUGUAUUACUCACACGAAACGGAAAGGAAACCUAAACACUCUAAUCGGGUAGUUGGGUCUGGCACUAUCUCGCACUCUAAUCACCAAAACAUAAACGGAAGGAAGCAAUAAACAUUAACUAAUGCAGUAGAUAUGUAACAACUAAGAAC
This 199-nucleotide long non-coding RNA is filed under the name Salvia miltiorrhiza (redroot sage). Its description in RNAcentral is "long non-coding RNA (SMIL_LNC011151)". The record is from RNAcentral. Lineage: Eukaryota; Viridiplantae; Streptophyta; Magnoliopsida; Lamiales; Lamiaceae.